ACUCGCGUAGCUCAGUUGGAAGAGCAUUGGGCUAGUAUUCCAAAGGUCGCAGGUUCGAAUCCCGCCGUGGCCA
This 73-nucleotide transfer RNA is filed under the name Paramuricea clavata. It matches the Rfam family "tRNA". From Rfam's summary of the family: Transfer RNA (tRNA) molecules are approximately 80 nucleotides in length. Their secondary structure includes four short double-helical elements and three loops (D, anti-codon, and T loops). The record is from Rfam by way of RNAcentral. Lineage: Eukaryota; Metazoa; Cnidaria; Anthozoa; Malacalcyonacea; Plexauridae.